GGGAGAGACGCUCACUGCUUCUCGCUGCAUCCGAACGGGCUCAUGUGUGCCGGCGAAGUGUGUAUUUUGAGAAAGUGGGCCCAUGAGGAGGGGUGCGAAGGCGAGAUUGCGUAGAGAGGUUGUUUCUGAGCAGGUUUGUCUUCAUUAUGUCUUCCAGUGAGGAGGAUCCCCGGUUUGUUCACAUAGCGAGGCUGUAAGGAUGUGCAGCACAAAGGCGCAAGCUGAGGAAACCCCCCUCCACCAAAGGUCACAUCAUGCCUCGGCUGCCUCUGCUCCUGUCGUGACCUCUGACUCCUUCCAGCCACUAGACAGCCUGGCAGCUCACAAGUUUAAGGCUGCAGCACAGACCACAGUGUGCAGCUUACACCAGGUUGGUGCUCUUACCUUCCUUGUUUUUUCAGCUGCAAUCUAAGCAAUGCAGACUGUUUGAAACUCUCAUUCCAUUCACAUGUUUAAAAUGGUGACUUUUAGGUGCUCUUUGAAAUGAACAUUCAAACAUUCUUUCUUUAUUCACGUGUGGCCUUGUGCAGACCUUUAGGCUGUACAAUGAAUCCAUGACCACAGUGAAUGAAUCCUAAAAUAUAACAUCUAUAUUGCACCACUCCUUUGGAUAAUCCUUGAAUUGCUUCUUGUUGCAAUUAGAGGAUGUCUUCCUAUAUGAUUUCAAAUAUUCCUCCUUUUUAACAAUGCAAUAAUCUAACAGCCUCAUGCGGCCAUGCCACAUCUAUAGACAUGUAGUGUAUCUACACUUUAUGAAUGAAACUGCACUCGUUUACCAUCAGGAGCACCACCAAAUAUGAAUCACUCCAGAUUGAAUAUUAAUAAAUUAUCAAAUCCACUUGUACUGAUCAGUCUCAUAAACAAAAGUCGUUAACCUGGAUUUCAUUGACCUCCAACUCCCAAACAAAGAAAUCCACAAUGGACCUGAUGACAAUUAUACACACACCUUCAUGAACUACUGCUACAGUCAAACGGUAAACAACAGUGACAUGACAACAGGCAGUGAGGGAGUGAAUGAAAGAAAGAAUAUGAGUAAACAAACUAGUUAAUUAACCGUGAUCAUCAGUGGAAGCAGUUUGUAGAGCGCUAAUCAAUUUAGAAUCAUUUUUGGCAUUGAGGAAACCAAUUGUAAUUUCUAACUUCACCAUUUAGCAAAAAGAAAAUGAUGCUUACAUAAUCUUUGUAGGAGGCAGAGGGAGGCCGCUGCAGGAUGUGUAGCUGUGAAAAUCUGCUGGAUAAGUUGGUUCAGGAAUGUAGAGACAGGAUGGCAACUUUGCAUAAUUGUGUUGAAAAAGUGUGAAGAAGUAAAGUCAAAGCUCGGACUCACAAAGAAAUGUUUGCACUGUUAAAUUAAGAAGCCCAACUUUAUUAAAACAUAUAAAAACAAACUUAAAUAGUAGAAAGUCAUGUAAAAGCCUUUUAAAAAUAGUAGGAAACUACCCAUAAUAUUAUCUGUGACCAUCACAGAUCUAAAAUCCCACUACACAAGUGAUUAAAAUGAUAUCAAACAUCUUUAUCUCAUCUGGUUCCUGAGAUAAUAUAAAAAGUGUAUACAUAAGCAUAAACUUUUCAGGGUUUUAUCUCAAUUUGAGUAUAUAAUGUCAUUCCUGGGAACAACAAAAUAAAGAACUCCUCUGAUACCUAUUCUAACUAGUGAGACUUUCUCUGUCUGUCUUCACCUGUUCGUCUUCAUCGUUCCCCAGACAUAUGUGAUCACCCCAGAUAUCCACCAGAAAACAACAAACUAAAACAACAAAAGGAAGCAGGGCCACACCCACUGGCACCACUUGUCUAAUCAGGCAAGUUUGGUGCUUUAAUCUUCAGACUAAACUGUAAGGUUUUCUAACAGCUGGGCAGCUCUGGCUCUGUGAUGAGCUAAUGGGUUAUUAAUUGGUUAUUAGGUGGGAUGCCAUAUCUGUUUUCAAUUAGACGCAUCUUGAUGCAGCUCCUGAGAUGAUUGGGUGUCCAAACACAAGCUCCUGGUUUCACAGGGUGAAACAGAAUUUCUCUGUAGGAAUGUUGAGGUAGCAUUUUCUUCCCUUGCUUUGUCUCAGUGGUUGGACUUUUAGAUUUUGUCCCCCCCACUUGUUUUACUUUUGAGGAGACUUCCAGUUGGAAAUAUUUCUACUUUCUUCUGGUGAUAGCACGACUGCUUUUUUUCAACUUCUUUUAUUGUAGACAGUUCUCUUAGGGACAGUCAUUUCUUUUGUGAGUGUGCAACAGUCAUGUCAGUGGUCUUUAGCAGGUGUGGGCAGCACUAAAAGUUGAUGAUUAUGGUGGUGAAUCUGCUUUUCCUGCUUUCCAUAAUGGUGGUUGCUUUGGGACUUUCUGGAUCUACUUGGUGGACUCUGCUCCAAAUAAUCUUCCAGCACCUUGAGAAUCCAUUUUUCUUUGACUGUCCCUCUUAAAAGUGGGUUCAUAAUUCCACCAUUGGUCAUGGUGGCAUUGUUGUUGGUGAUGUCUUCACCUUUGGGGAAUUUUUGAUCACCCUUGAAGUCUCCGUUUGGGUCUCGUUGAUGUUUGGCCUUCAGUCUUUCGAAGUGCUGUUGGUUUUUCCAAUGGUUUCGUUGAAAACUUGAAAAGCACUGUCACAGUAGUGGAUUAGUCUGCUCUAUCUUCCAUCAUAUCUGCGAGGAUGUGCAGGCAAUUGGAUGCAUGAGCUUAUUUCAUCAAAGGCUGAGUCUCACUCUUGUCUUGUGUUGUGUCAGACUUGUCUCAGUCUGAACUCAGUAAAGGACUGACACUUUACACUUCAACAGCAAAUAACUGCAAACUCAUUCAUAGGAAGUAUUGGUUUUGGAUUUCUGUAAUAAUGUUACUUGUUUCUUUAUUGUUUUUUUAUGUGACUUUGGUGUUACACUAACGCUAUGUCCAGACAGAUUUUGGAAUGUACCUGUUGUGCUGCCCCUCAGUCCCCUAAGCUACAGUUUUAUUUAGGCUAAAGACUCCAAAAUUUCACUUAAAUGAGCAGAUUUAUCGAGAAAACAGUCAUUUAAUUGCAAAAAGCAAUACAGUUUGGUGGGCAAUGCAAGAAGAAACCAAACAAAUCACACAGAAUGAGUCUCCACAAGCAGACUGGUGGGUUUAUAAUGGUUAUCUUUAUUUUGCCCAGGUGCUCCCAGUCAGCUCUGCUUACCAGUUCCCUCUACCUGAUGAGGAAAACAAAGUCCAACCAAACAGGUCAGAAGGCCAAACGAAUAGAAAGUUGUCAAACUGUAAACAGACAAAGCAGCAGUGAAAGAAAAGUAAUGGAUGCCAUCUUUCUCUUAGUACAGAACAUAUGUACAAAUGUAUAAAUUUAGGGUAUAAAAUGACUGCUUCAACCUUUUAGUAGCUUUAAGAUGUGGGUCUGAGUGUGCUUUUGUGAUGAGUGAGUUCUGACUUACCAGAAGCCUGUCUCCCUCUUGUGGUCACAGGUCAGAAGCUUUGAAGUGGAUUCUGAGACAUGGGCGUGAUUGUUAUAUCAUCUUCUUUAAGUAAUUUAUCUUACUGCCAGUGAUUCUCCCAGUAGACCCUAAAUGUCAUAGCUAAGAAUCCCCCCGGAUACUCGUCAAGCUGCUACAAGCAGCCCUGAAUAAUGGACGGGAAUGAGAGAUCUCCUUUUGACCUCGUUGCUAUGGAUGACGUAGACCUUUGGGUGUCUCAUAAACACGAUCUGUUGUUAAGGGACAAAUCGAUUUUUGACCUUGGGGUUGAAGGGGAUGUUUUGUUUUUUCCAACCAGUAAAGAAAAUCUAAACUCAAUACAUGAGCUGAUAUUUGACAUGAUAUGAGGAUGCUUGCAAGAAGAUAACAUGCAACUUAUCCAAAAGUCGGUACUUUUUGCACAUGCUUUUGUUGACAAAGUCUGUGACUCACUUUUAUUUUGACUUUAUGGCACAGUAUAUCAACACUGAAUUGAAAUAAGUGUUUCACGUGGAGAAAGUUGACUGGAGCUUGGCAGGUUCACCCUGGAGGGAAUUGGAUGUCAGAAUCAGUGCUACUCUGCAUUAAAUAGUUAUACCCAAUUUCUGGACCUUCUCCAAAUUUCAAGGUGAAAUACUGAAGGUUAAUGUUUUGUUUAACAUCACAUUAAUUCAUUAUUUCAUUGCAGGGCCAAAGUUAUGUCAGUGUUUUUUUAAUGUUCAGCUGUCUUUUCAAUGGUUUUAUUAAAUUCCUACCCUAGUAGGUGAGAUACUGAAGGCUACUCUUAAUAUGUUUUACAUCUUUAGCUUAUAGCUCAGCUACUGCUGCAGCAGCAGGUGUAAGGCAAACAAAGAUUUGUCUAAGCUCUAUUUUUAACAUUUAAAUUCCAGUCCGCAGGGCUUCCUGAAAAUAAGAUGGUGUCAUUGCUUGGUAAAGGUUUUAGAAAACUCUUUUGAUACAACAGAAGUAGCAGCAGCAACAACUUCUGCAGUAGCAUUUAUGACUACUAUUAGUCAGCAGAAGUUCUUUGAGAUCCCGGGAGCAACCACUACCUAAAUAAAGGCUUUAAGCAGACCAACGAAAAGCUAAAAUGAGAAACCAUAUAAGUUCACCACUUGAUUAUGCUUAUGCUUGAGGCAAGAAUGAUUUUCAUAGGCUGAUAUAUAUUCUAAAAUGAUGAUUGCUAUAGAACGAUUUAAAAUGAGUAUUAUGAUCAUGCUAAGAUGUAAUGAUUAAAAGAAGUGAUUUUAAGUAAAAACACUGUGUAUGUGGAGAAGUAACACAUUUUGAACUGCGCACUUACAAAAAAGCAGAACUACAAUGCUGGGGAAAUCUUGGCCUGUGAGGAGUGUGUGCGCAUUUUCAAAUAUGGUUAUAGGAAGCACAUGGAGAAUGUCUUAACCGUUCUCCAUGUGCCUUGAAUGUGCCUUGGCAAAGUGUGUAAUCGUUGUGAGGCUGAUAGUUGAGCAACUGAGCGUACAGAUAAUGUGUGUCUAUUAGAGGAUGAAAGUAUAAAAGAGAGAGACAGAGACACUGAAUUCGGAGUUGUUCCCCGGAGCCGCCAUAGAGCUGCUACAGAGAUCGUCGCCGAGGCCCAGAGGAGUCGUCACCGGACUUUCUGCCAAAGGACAUGAGGACGUCGUUGGAAGCAAAGUUGUUCUGACUUUGUUCAAAAUAAGACGACCACGCUCUGCUGAAAGGAGAGCCCCGAUUGGUCUGCGAUUCUACUGAGAGGAGAAAAGAGAAAUCCACCACACACCAGAAGGGAGCGGAGGCAGCAACAAGGAGCUGCUCUCAUCCUAACAGCCACUGGCUAACCUGAGGACAUCGAGGGAUUUUCUCACUGCUGUUCCAGCUUCUGCUUCUGAGGACAACCGCACAACCAAGAUUGGCUUUUGGGGCCUUUCCGCUCCCCUUGCCGAGGAAGGACACUUUUUGGACCAAAAGGUACUUUGGACAGAGUUUCCAGAUCCUCUGAGGAGUUUGACCAGACGCAGGCAGGUUAAGAGCGGGAGUGGCAGCUAAGGCCUGGCUGUCCGUCCUCUCUCACCUCUAAAUUAUACAAUUAGAGAAAAUAUUCUUAGAAACGCUCAGUUCAAUGAAGUUUAGUUAGAACUGAUUAUGAUUAAUUGCAUUUUUCAAUCAUGAGCUGAUGCUAUGCUCCUGCUAAUGUUAUUCAAUAAAAAGCUAUCUUGCA
This is a long non-coding RNA of Acanthochromis polyacanthus (spiny chromis), 5601 nucleotides long. RefSeq lists it as uncharacterized. The transcript is spliced from 2 exons. NCBI's taxonomy places the organism in Eukaryota, Metazoa, Chordata, Actinopteri, Pomacentridae. The record is from RefSeq and is a predicted model, not a curated record.